AGCCAAGUCAGGCAAAUUUCAAAUGUCCAUCUAUUAAUCCAGAUGUUCUUACAUUAGUCUCUAUUUUAUCCUUUAGGUUACUCAUAAGAUACGGUUUCUCACACAAAUAUGGAGCUGUUGUUAAGUCUAACUAUGGGUCAACUUCAGUCAUCUUGGGAGAAUUUAAAGACUUUUCUCCUCUACAAAAUGGACCAAGGAGAGCCAGAGGAGGCAAGGAAUUUUGAAUACCAAGAACUCGCUUCAUGUAAUACGAUUAAAGCCUUUUAAAUGUAAAGAUCAAUAGGUCAAACCAUAAUAAAAUACAGC
Molecule: long non-coding RNA, 306 nt
Filed under: Piliocolobus tephrosceles (Ugandan red Colobus)
Lineage: Eukaryota; Metazoa; Chordata; Mammalia; Primates; Cercopithecidae
Description: lncRNA (ENSPTEG00000026088.1)
Source: RNAcentral